AGGUAGCGAAAUUCCUUGUCGGGUAAGUUCCGACCUGCACGAAUGGCGUAACGAUCUGAGCGCUGUCUCAACGAGGGACUCGGUGAAAUUAUAUUAUUGGUGAAGAUACCAAUUACGUACAGAAGGACAGAAAGACCCCGUGAACCUUUACUGCAACCUGAUAUUGAACUUUGGUCUAUCUCAUGUAGGAUAGGUAGGAGACUUUGAAGCCGGAGCGCCAGCUCUGGUGGAGUCAACGGUGAAAUACUACCUCUGGUAUGCUGGAGUUCUAACUUUAUACCGUUAUCCGGAUAAAGGACAGUGGCAGGCAGGCAGUUUGACUGGGGCGGUCGCCUCCAAAAAAGUAACGGAGGCGUCCAAAGGUUCCCUCAGAGUGUUUGGCAAUCACUCUUAAGAGUAUAAAGGCAUAAGGGAGCUUGACUGUGAGACAGACAUGUCGAGCAGGAACGAAAGUUGGGCUUAGUGAUCCGGCGGCUCAGUGUGGAAUGGCCGUCGCUCAACGGAUAAAAGGUACUCCGGGGAUAACAGGCUUAUCACGCCCAAGAGUCCAUAUCGACGGCGUGGUUUGGCACCUCGAUGUCGGCUCAUCGCAUCCUGGGGCCGUAGCAGGUCCCAAGGGUCCGGCUGUUCGCCGGUUAAAGCGGUACGCGAGCUGGGUUUAGAACGUCGUGAGACAGUUCGGUCCCUAUCCUCUGUGCGCGCAGGAGAAUUGAGGAGGUUUACCCCUAGUACGAGAGGACCGGGGUGAGCGAACCUCUGGUGUGCCAGUUGUCUUGCCAAGGGCAUGGCUGGUUAGCCAAGUUCGUUAGAGAUAAGUGCUGAAAGCAUAUAAGCAUGAAGCUCGCUCCAAGAAUAGUUCUCCCAUCCUUUAAGGAGUAAGACCCCAUGCAGAACACAUGGUUGAUAGGUUGGAUGUGUAAGCACAGCAAUGUGUUUAGCUGACCAAUACUAAUAGGUCGAGGACUUGAUAUU
This 972-nucleotide ribosomal RNA is filed under the name Actinobacteria bacterium ADurb.Bin346. Its description in RNAcentral is "bacterial LSU rRNA". It matches the Rfam family "Bacterial large subunit ribosomal RNA", at positions 1954 to 2925 of the family's 2925-position model. The record is from RNAcentral. Lineage: Bacteria; Bacillati; Actinomycetota.